GGAGAGAUGGUCGAGUGGUUGAUAGCUCCAGUCUUGAAAACUCGUAUAAUUCGCAAAGAGCUAUCGAGGGUUCGAAUCCUUCUCUCUCAU
This 90-nucleotide transfer RNA is filed under the name Ricinus communis (castor bean). It matches the Rfam family "tRNA". From Rfam's summary of the family: Transfer RNA (tRNA) molecules are approximately 80 nucleotides in length. Their secondary structure includes four short double-helical elements and three loops (D, anti-codon, and T loops). Lineage: Eukaryota; Viridiplantae; Streptophyta; Magnoliopsida; Malpighiales; Euphorbiaceae. The record is from Rfam by way of RNAcentral.